GUUUUGGUACGCACUUGAAACCAGUCGAUUGACUGCCAUAUUAACAGAGCCGAAAUUUGUCAAAGAUACAUUAUAUUAUAUCCAACAAAUAUAGAGGUUGCCUUCUUCAGCUACAUGUCUGCUUUUUAAGAGAGAUUGUCCACAGAAGAUCAGAAUCAGAUCUAACGGUUACCGUUUCUCCUUUAACAAUGUUUGAAGUACUCACUAAGCCGCCAAAUCUCAUUUCCAUAUUAUCUCUUCCAGAAGGGGUGCCAAUGGGAAUAAGACCACAAUGUGGGCCUUCAACUGAAGACAGGACAUGAAUCUCAUGAUGUCGGGUGCUAGGAAGAAGUUGGAUAAGACAAUCAUCGGACAAAAGAAUAAUCCGUGUUGUUGAAAAGCGGCACAAGGUGUUC
Molecule: long non-coding RNA, 395 nt
Filed under: Helianthus annuus (common sunflower)
Lineage: Eukaryota; Viridiplantae; Streptophyta; Magnoliopsida; Asterales; Asteraceae
Description: hypothetical non coding rna
Source: RNAcentral